AGCGGCCCCUUCAGUUCUCCCAGCCCAAUCAAGACUGACUGCCAACACCCGGUUUUCCCGGAAUGCCGGUGCAAUCGUAUCCUGGGAAAAGACAGGCUACACUUCGACCACCUCACGGGACCAGGAUAACUGUAACUUACACUCCCUCACCCAAGGAGGGACAGUGACGGGACUUCCCUUCGCUCCAGGCACGGACCGGUUGCACCCGGCGGAACGCACCUUGAGGUCCUCCGCCGCGUCCUGCAGCGGUCGUACCCGGUGAGCCCAGUGCUCUGAGCGCUCGCAGGAGGGACACAGCAGGCAGAGGUCGUCGCCGCAGAAGGUGGCCAGCGGCUCGCGGUGCGCCGCGCACACGCCCUGCGGGACGGGCGACGGCGGGUGCAGGCGCCGGGCCAUUUCUGCCAUUUUGGCGAGCGGGCGGUUGGGUCGCAGGUUCCUCUGCGCCGACAGCUCGCGGCACUCGGGACACGCAUACGGGCCCUCGGGCUGGCCCCAGCAACGUCGGAUGCACUCGCGGCAGAAGUUGUGACCGCAGUCGGUCAUCACCGGGUCGGUGAAGUAAUCGAGGCAGAUGGCGCAGGUGGCCUCCUCCUGGAGCCCGCAGCACCCCUGGACUGUUGUCGCUCAGACACCCCCAACACCACCCUCAUGUCUGGGGGCAGACCCGAAGAGAUCAGGGAUGGGAAACGAGAAACGGUGUCCGGCGCGGGGUCCAGAAGGCUCAGAGUGAAAACCACUUCGGAAAUGCGCGCGCUUGCCAGGGUGCCAGUAACUUGUAACAGGAAUGGAAAGCGAGGGGUCCUUCGGAGAGGGAGUGAUAGGAACCGGCACUUGGAGGAAGGGACCUGGAGAAGCCGACGUUCCUCUUCCACCAGGAACAGGACCACCUUCUGGAACUCCUCCAGGAUGCGCUCUCUACGCUCCUUCACUUUAUCCUGUGGCAAUGGGGUGGGCCCAGACAGGAUGGCUUUCCUUCAAGGUUGCUAUACAGCAGUUCUGGACAGUUGGUGAUCUAGAACUCUUGGUCAAAGUUGGAAACCAGGACCUUUGACAGAGGUCCCCAUGCCAUCCCUUGUGAACCCUAACAGAUCAGACCCUGAGUGGCAGCAUUCACACAUUCAAAUGUCUGUGUGUCCUAGUGUGGGUGGGUUCAGAACAUGCCACCUCAAGGAAGGACACAGGUAUGAUUCAUAAAAAGGACAGCAGGCUCCUAAUGACCAGGCUAAAAGUCAGACUGGAGUUACCCAUAUCCCUGAAGCUGACCAAAACUCUUAAGAAAUCAGAAUUUCACAGACAAGAGGUCAGACACCAAACUUUCAGAGUCCAGGAGCACCUCUCCUCCCUGAAGCCUCCCACCUUGAAAGGGCCCUUCCUGUCAUGGGAUGAGGAUGGAUCUGGACACACAGGGUGGACGACAGCCAUUGGGCACCCACCUUCCAUUCAGUUAAGGUCUCUUCCCCCUUGGCUUGCAGCGUCUCUGUCUUCAUUAUCUCCUCCCGAAGAUACUUUAUGUCUUCCUCCAACUUCGUCUGGAUACACAAACACAGGCUUCAGCUCAUCUGGAUGCAUUCUCUGCAGAAGUUGUGGCCACAGGAAGUCAUCACAGGAUCAAUGAAAUAAUCGAGGCAGAUGGAACAUGUGGCCUCUUCUUGCAGCCUUCUGGCAAGUUCCACAGCAUCCAUUGCUCCUGGGGAGAAACAAGGGGAAGUUUCCACUGUAACCCCCUGACAGGCAGAAGCACAGAACUGGCACCCCAUGUCUGCCUCCUCUGUUGCUCUUCAUGGAUGAGAACAAAUGCUGGUGUCCGAAUGUGGCAUACAAAGACACUCUGAACAAAUGCUAGCCAGACCCCUGAACCUUGGCUGCUAUGCAUGGACUUGGUCCCUAAGUCAGCUUAGCCACAAGCUCCUUCCCAUACCUUCUGGGACUCCCCAGCUGUUGUGCAUCUGCAGUCAAGUCCCAGCUCGGCCCUAGGGCCACACUCCCAUCCCAAAAGGCUGCCACAGAGUCAAGUGCCAGAGUACUGACUUUAGCAAAUCCCUGGUAAAACAAAGGAACUUAGAAAGGAAGGGGGAUCCUUUCAGUUAAGAUGCAAUGCAGAAAGGACAACACAGGACACACAGACAGAGGGGCUCCAUGCAGACACAUGGACACACGAACACAUGCACACACAAACACAGGGGCUGCGUGUAGACAUGCAGACACAUC
Arvicola amphibius (Eurasian water vole) is the source of this 2208-nucleotide long non-coding RNA. RefSeq lists it as uncharacterized. Lineage: Eukaryota; Metazoa; Chordata; Mammalia; Rodentia; Cricetidae. The record is from RefSeq and is a predicted model, not a curated record. The transcript is spliced from 5 exons.